This is a long non-coding RNA of Trachymyrmex cornetzi, 88 nucleotides long. RefSeq lists it as uncharacterized. The record is from RefSeq and is a predicted model, not a curated record. Lineage: Eukaryota; Metazoa; Arthropoda; Insecta; Hymenoptera; Formicidae. The transcript is spliced from 3 exons.
UUCUUAUAUAUGUUGCAACAUACUCACGUGCCAGAUAACAUUUGUGCCAUUGUGGUAUACAUGGCACAAAAUCCCACAACUUCUUUAU